CUGACCUCAAAUCAGGUAGGACUACCCGCUGAACUUAAGCAUAUCAAUAAGCGGAGGAAAAGAAACUAACAAGGAUUCCCCUAGUAACUGCGAGUGAAGCGGGAAAAGCUCAAAUUUAAAAUCUGGCAUGCCUUCGGCUGCCCGAGUUGUAGUCUGGAGAAGUGUUUUCCGUG
RNAcentral lists this ribosomal RNA (173 nucleotides) under uncultured fungus. RNAcentral's name for it is "partial 28S ribosomal RNA". It matches the Rfam family "Eukaryotic large subunit ribosomal RNA", at positions 1 to 169 of the family's 3401-position model. The record is from RNAcentral. Lineage: Eukaryota; Fungi.